AAACGACUCUCGGCAACGGAUAUCUCGGCUCUCGCAUCGAUGAAGAACGUAGCGAAAUGCGAUACUUGGUGUGAAUUGCAGAAUCCCGCGAACCAUCGAGUCUUUGAACGCAAGUUGCGCCCGAAGCCAUCCGGCCGAGGGCACGUCUGCCUGGGCGUCACGC
This 163-nucleotide ribosomal RNA is filed under the name Diospyros ehretioides. Its description in RNAcentral is "5.8S ribosomal RNA". It matches the Rfam family "5.8S ribosomal RNA". Rfam says of the family: 5.8S ribosomal RNA (5.8S rRNA) is a component of the large subunit of the eukaryotic ribosome. It is transcribed by RNA polymerase I as part of the 45S precursor that also contains 18S and 28S rRNA. Functionally, it is thought that 5.8S rRNA may be involved in ribosome translocation. The record is from RNAcentral. Lineage: Eukaryota; Viridiplantae; Streptophyta; Magnoliopsida; Ericales; Ebenaceae.